Cricetulus griseus (Chinese hamster) is the source of this 299-nucleotide unclassified non-coding RNA. Its record names the gene 7SK. It matches the Rfam family "7SK RNA". From Rfam's summary of the family: 7SK was discovered as an abundant small nuclear RNA in the mid-70s but a possible function has only recently been suggested. Two independent studies have found that 7SK RNA binds the CDK9/cyclin T complex (known as elongation factor P-TEFb). NCBI's taxonomy places the organism in Eukaryota, Metazoa, Chordata, Mammalia, Rodentia, Cricetidae. The record is from Ensembl.
GCCCCAUCUGUGACAUCUGUCACCCCAUUGAUCCCCAGGGUUGAUUCGGCUGGUCCGGCUGGCUAGGCGGGUGUCCCCUUCACGGCUUCAUGUGUGUCCCUCCCAAAGUUGCACACUCGGUCGAAGAGGAUGACCUUCCCAGAAUAGAGGAGGACCAGUCUUCAGUCAAGGGUAUACGAGCAGCUGUACUCUCCUGCUAGAACCUCCAAACAAGCUCUCAUUUUAUGAUUUAACCAAUAACAUGGAGUCAGUACUUUAAUUAGGAACCAGAAAUAAGCUCAGGGUGAGCUCAGAUGUAU